RNAcentral lists this ribosomal RNA (253 nucleotides) under uncultured bacterium. RNAcentral's name for it is "partial 16S ribosomal RNA". It matches the Rfam family "Bacterial small subunit ribosomal RNA", at positions 524 to 776 of the family's 1533-position model. The record is from RNAcentral.
UACAGAGGUCCCAAGCGUUGUUCGGAUUCACUGGGCGUAAAGAGCUCGUAGGCGGCCAGUUGCGUCUGCUGUGAAAUCCCGGGGCUCAACCCCGGGCGUGCAGUGGAUACGGGCUGGCUAGAGGCAGGUAGGGGAGAACGGAAUUCCCGGUGUAGCGGUGAAAUGCGCAGAUAUCGGGAGGAACACCGGUGGCGAAGGCGGUUCUCUGGGCCUGUACUGACGCUGAGGAGCGAAAGCGUUGGGAGCGAACAGG